Molecule: ribosomal RNA, 253 nt
Filed under: uncultured bacterium
Lineage: Bacteria
Description: partial 16S ribosomal RNA
Rfam family: Bacterial small subunit ribosomal RNA
Source: RNAcentral
CACGUAGGGGACGAGCGUUGUCCGGAUUCAUUGGGCGUAAAGCGUGCGCAGGCGGUUUUGUAAGCCAGAUGUGAAAUCCCCGGGCUCAACCUGGGAAUGGCAUUUGGGACUGCAAGGCUUGAGUGCGGCAGAGGAGACUGGAAUUCCUGGUGUAGCAGUGAAAUGCGUAGAUAUCAGGAGGAAUACCGAUGGCGAAGGCAGGUCUCUGGGCUGACACUGACGCUCAUGCACGAAAGCGUGGGGAGCAAACAGG